CCUACGGGGGGCUGCAGUGGGGAAUAUUGCACAAUGGGGGAAACCCUGAUGCAGCAACGCCGCGUGAGUGAUGACGGCCUUCGGGUUGUAAAGCCCUGUCUUCAGGGACGAUAAUGACGGUACCUGAGGAGGAAGCCACGGCUAACUACGUGCCAGCAGCCGCGGUAAUACGUAGGUGGCGAUCGUUGUCCGGCUUUACUGGGCGUAAAGGGGGCGUAGGGGGACUUUUAAGUGAGAUGUGAAAUACUCGGGCUUAACCUGAGGGCUGCAUUUCAAACUGUAAGGCUAGAGUGCAGGAGAGGAGAAUGGAAUUCCUAGUGUAGCGGUGAAAUGCGUAGAGAUCAGGAAGAACACCAGUGGUGAAGGCGAUUCUCUGGACUGUAACUGACGCUGAGGCUCGAAAGCGUGGGGAGCAAACAGGAUUAGAUACCCCAGUAGUC
Molecule: ribosomal RNA, 440 nt
Filed under: uncultured bacterium
Lineage: Bacteria
Description: partial 16S ribosomal RNA
Rfam family: Bacterial small subunit ribosomal RNA
Source: RNAcentral